AUACGGAGGGUGCGAGCGUUGUCCGGAAUCACUGGGCGUAAAGGGCGCGUAGGCGGUGACUUAAGCGUGUGGUGAAAGCCCGGGGCUCAACCCCGGGUCGGCCGUGCGAACUGGGUCACUCGAGCACUGUAGAGGCAGGUGGAAUUCCGGGUGUAGCGGUGGAAUGCGUAGAGAUCCGGAAGAACACCAGUGGCGAAGGCGGCCUGCUGGGCAGUAGCUGACGCUGAGGCGCGACAGCGUGGGGAGCAAACAGGAUUAGAAACCCCAGUAGUCC
This 274-nucleotide ribosomal RNA is filed under the name uncultured bacterium. Its description in RNAcentral is "partial 16S ribosomal RNA". It matches the Rfam family "Bacterial small subunit ribosomal RNA", at positions 523 to 796 of the family's 1533-position model. The record is from RNAcentral.